This 271-nucleotide unclassified non-coding RNA is filed under the name Hevea brasiliensis (rubber tree). Lineage: Eukaryota; Viridiplantae; Streptophyta; Magnoliopsida; Malpighiales; Euphorbiaceae. The record is from RNAcentral.
CGACGUUAAUGGCAGAAUUAUGUUGUCCAGCUCCUAUAUUACUAGGCAAAGACUUUGAAGCUGCCGGAGGCUUUAUUUCAAGGUAUCCCAUGCCAAAUUCUUCAUCUGUAACCCAAGAAGGCUUUCUAGCAGCCAAAGCGGCAGCAACACCAGUUGCCAACACUUUAAGAUCCUCUCUUUCAUCGCUUUUGAUCCUGGCCACUCGCUUUUCAAGGUUAAUCCCACUCCUUUUGGUAACUGGGAAAACACCAGAAAUUUUCGUCAACAGAAU